UAAAUACCGGCCAGAGACNGAUAGCGCACAAGUAGAGUGAUCGAAAGAUGAAAAGCACUUUGGAAAGAGAGUUAAAAAGCAUGUGAAAUUGUUGAAAGGGAAGCGCANGCAACCAGACUUGGUCCUAGGUGUUCACCUGGCGUUCUUCGCCAGGGCAUUCGCCUAGGUUCAGGCCAGCAUCGGUUUGGGCGNUUGGAUAAAGGCCUCUGGAAUGUGGCUCUCCUUCGGGGGAGUGUUAUAGCCWGAGGUGCCAUACAGCCUGCCUGGACCGAGGAACGCGCUUCGGCACGGAUGCUGGCGUAAUGGUUGUCUGCGGCCCGUCUUGAAACACGGACCAAGGAGUCUAACAUCUAUGCGAGUGUUUGGGUGUCAAGCCCACACGCGGAANGAAAGUGAACGGAGGUGGGNGCCCUCGGGCGCACCAUCGACCGAUCCUGAUGUCUUCGGAUGGAUUUGAGUAAGAGCAUAGCUGUUGGGACCCGAAAGAUGGUGAACUUUGCGUGGGUAGGGUGAAGCCAGAGGAAACUCUGGUGGAGGCUCGCAGCGRUUCUGACGUGCAAAUCGAUCGU
Molecule: ribosomal RNA, 569 nt
Filed under: Chaenothecopsis resinophila
Lineage: Eukaryota; Fungi; Ascomycota; Eurotiomycetes; Mycocaliciales; Mycocaliciaceae
Description: LSU rRNA
Rfam family: Eukaryotic large subunit ribosomal RNA
Source: RNAcentral